CCUACGGGAGGCAGCAGUGAGGAAUAUUGGUCAAUGGCCGGAAGGCUGAACCAGCCAAGCCGCGUGAAGGACGAAGGUGCCAAGCAUUGUAAACUUCUUUUGUCAAGGGACAAAAUCAUGCUCGAGAGCCUUUCCGAGGGUACUUUAAGAAAAAGCAUCGGCUUACUUCCUGCCAGCAGCCGCGGUAAUACGGGGGAUGCGGGCGUUAUCCGGAUUUAUUGGGUUUAAAGGGGUCGUAGGGGGGCUGUUAAGUCAGCGGUAAAAGCCCGGGGCUCAACCCCGGCGAGCCGUUGAAACUGGCUGUCUUGAGAUGUCGAGAGGUAUGCGGAAUGCGGAGUGUAGCGGUGAAAUGCUUAGAUAUUGCGCAGAACUCCGAUUGCGAAGGCAGCAUACCGGCGGCGAUCUGACGCUGAGGCACGAAAGCGUGGGUAUCGAACAGGAUUAGAUACCCUAGUAGUC
This 459-nucleotide ribosomal RNA is filed under the name uncultured bacterium. Its description in RNAcentral is "partial 16S ribosomal RNA". It matches the Rfam family "Bacterial small subunit ribosomal RNA", at positions 338 to 795 of the family's 1533-position model. The record is from RNAcentral.